AGUUUGAUUAUGGCUCAGAUUGAACGCUGGCGGGAUGCUACAUGCAAGUCGAACGGCAGCACGGACUUCGGUCUGGUGGCGAGUGGCGAGCAGGUGAGUAAUGUAUCGGAACGUGCCUAGUAGCGGGGGAUAACUACGCGAAAGCGUAGCUAAUACCGCAUGCGCCCUUCAGGGGGAAAGCGGGGACGCUGGGCCUCGCACUAUUAAACGGCGAUAUCGGAUUAGCUAGUUGGUGGGGUAACGGCUCACCAAGGCGACGAUCCGUAGCUGGUUUGAAGGAGAGGACGACCAGCCACACUGGGACGGAGACACGGCCAGACUCUACAGGGAGGCAGCAGUGGGAGAUUUUGGACAAUGGGGAAACCUGAUCCAGCCAUCCCGCGUGCGAUGAAGGCCUUCGGGUUGUAAAGCACUUUUUGGCAGAAAGAAACGGCACAGGAUAAUACCCCGUGCAACUGACGGUACCUGCAGAAUAAGCACCGGCUAACUACGUGCCAGCAGCCGCGGUAAUACAGCAGGGUGCAAGCGUUAAUCGAGAUUACUGGGCGUAAAGCGUGCGCAGGCGGUUCGGAAAGAAAGAUGUGAAAUCCCAGAGCUUAACUUUGGAACUGCAUUUUUAACUACCGAGCUAGAGUGUCAGAGGGAGGUGGAACUCCACGUGUAGCAGUGAAAUGCGUAGAUAUGCGGAGGAACACCGUGGCGAAGGCGCAGCCUCCUGGGAUAACACUGACGCUCAUGCACAGCAUUGAGGCAAACAGGAUUAGAUACCCUGGUAGUCCACGCCCUAAACGAUGUCAACUAGCUGUUGGGGCCUUCGGGCCUUGGUAGCGCAGCUAACGCGUGAAGUUGACCGCCUGGGAAGCCACGGUCGCAAGAUUAAAACUCAAAGGAAUUGACGGGGACCCGCACAAGCGGUGGAUGAUGUGGAUAAUUCGAUGCAACGCGAAAGAGCCUUUACCUACCCUUGACAUGUCUGGAAUCCCGAAGAGAUUUGGGAGUGCUCGCAAGAGAACCGGAACACAGGUGCUGCAUGGCUGUCGUCAGCUCGUGUCGUGAGAUGUUGGGUUAGAAUCCGCAACGAGCGCAACCCUUGUCAUUAGUUGCUACGAAAGGGCACUCUAAUGAGACUGCCGGUGACAAACCGGAGGAAGGUGGGGAUGACGUCAAGUCCUCAUGGCCCUUAUGGGUAGGGCUUCACCGAUAUCGCGCAAUGGUCGGGACAGGGUCGCCAACCCGCGAGGGGAGCCAAUCCCAGAAACCCGAUCGUAGUGGGAUCGCAGUCUGCAACUAAAUCAACUGCGUGAAGUCGGAAUCGCUAGUAAUCGCGGAUCGGCAUGUCGCGGUGAAUACGUUCCCGGGUCUUGUACACGCACUUGUCACACCAUGGGAGUGGGUUUUGCAGAAGUAGUUAGCCUAACCGUAAGGAGGCGAUUACCACAUUAGGAUUCAUGACU
Molecule: ribosomal RNA, 1454 nt
Filed under: uncultured Bordetella sp.
Lineage: Bacteria; Pseudomonadati; Pseudomonadota; Betaproteobacteria; Burkholderiales; Alcaligenaceae
Description: partial 16S-23S ribosomal RNA intergenic spacer
Rfam family: Bacterial small subunit ribosomal RNA
Source: RNAcentral